UACGGGGGGGGCAAGCGUUGUUCGGAAUUACUGGGCGUAAAGGGCUCGUAGGUGGCCAACUAAGUCAGACGUGAAAUCCCCAGGCUUAACCUGGGAACUGCGUCUGAUACUGGAUGGCUUGAAUUCGGGAGAGGGAUGCAGAAUUCCAGGUGUAGCGGUGAAAUGCGUAGAUAUCUGGAGGAAUACCGGUGGCGAAGGCGGCAUCCUGGACCUAUAUUGACGCUGAGGAGCGAAAGCUAGGGGAGCAAACGGG
RNAcentral lists this ribosomal RNA (253 nucleotides) under uncultured bacterium. RNAcentral describes it as "partial 16S ribosomal RNA". It matches the Rfam family "Bacterial small subunit ribosomal RNA", at positions 524 to 776 of the family's 1533-position model. The record is from RNAcentral.